CUCAAAUUUGAAAUCUGGCCCCCAGGGCCCGAGUUGUAAUUUGCAGAGGAUGCUUUUGGCGCGGUGCCUUCCGAGUUCCCUGGAACGGGACGCCAUAGAGGGUGAGAGCCCCGUCUGGUCGGACGCCUAGCCUGUGUAAAGCUCCUUCGACGAGUCGAGUAGUUUGGGAAUGCUGCUCUAAAUGGGAGGUAUAUGUCUUCUAAAGCUAAAUACCGGCCAGAGACCGAUAGCGCACAAGUAGAGUGAUCGAAAGAUGAAAAGCACUUUGAAAAGAGGGUUAAAUAGUACGUGAAAUUGUUGAAAGGGAAGCGCUUGUGACCAGACUUGGGCCCGGUGGAUCAUCCAGCGUUCUCGCUGGUGCACUCCGCCGGGUUCAGGCCAGCAUCAGUUCGCCGCGGGGGAAAAAGGCUUCGGGAACGUGGCUCCUACGGGAGUGUUAUAGCCCGUUGCAUAAUACCCUGGGGCGGACUGAGGUUCGCGCUCCGCAAGGAUGCUGGCGUAAUGGUCAUCAGCGACCC
RNAcentral lists this ribosomal RNA (518 nucleotides) under Purpureocillium lilacinum. RNAcentral describes it as "partial large subunit ribosomal RNA". It matches the Rfam family "Eukaryotic large subunit ribosomal RNA", at positions 108 to 650 of the family's 3401-position model. Lineage: Eukaryota; Fungi; Ascomycota; Sordariomycetes; Hypocreales; Ophiocordycipitaceae. The record is from RNAcentral.